Non-coding RNA from Myotis lucifugus (little brown bat), 171 nucleotides. NCBI's taxonomy places the organism in Eukaryota, Metazoa, Chordata, Mammalia, Chiroptera, Vespertilionidae. The record is from Rfam.
CCGAGCACAUGGGCCCUCGGGCCGGGCAGGCGCGGGGCGGACCGGACCCGGAGGAACAGCUCCGGGGCCGCGAACCAGGACGGGCCCGGCUCCCCCUGGGCUCCCCCGAGUGGAUUUCCGCGCGGCAAGGAUGUUGGCGGCCCCGGUGCCACGGCUUGGAUCCACCUUCCA